UUUCAGCUUGAUUCUAGCUGCAUUAUUAGCAUUUUUCUUAAACCAGAUACAUGUAAAUACUUAUGCCCCCGUGAGUAAGUUUUAUUAUUAUAAAUAAUAUUCAACAUAUUUUUUUAGUAAAUAAAAACUACAGUUUCAGGUUUUCCUAUAACACUUAUUAACUCUCACGCCUACAGUACCAAAUUCUGCGUAAUAAAAGACAUUUUGCACCGAUUUAAGAUUUUAGAGCUGGUAAAAUUCGUGCCAGCUACCGCGGUUAAACGAUCAGCCCAAGCUAAUUAACCCAGGAUUUUUCGGUUAAUUUUUUUACACUUGUAAUAAAUAUAAAAUAUCUAGGAGUAUAACCCACCUAUUUAUAAUCUUACCCUAAUUUACACUUAUACAACCCCGUGAAAGCUUAGACUAAAACAAGGAUUAGAUACCCAAUUAUUCUCAGCCAUAAAUAAAAUACCUAGGGUAGUACGAUCACAUGAUUAAAACCCAAAGAAAUUGGCGGCAUUCUAACGUCCCAGGGGAACCUGUCCUUUAAUUCGAUAAUCCACGAACAUCCUACUCUUUUUUGCAAAUCAGCUUAUGUAUUGCCGUCGUCAGUUAACCUUGCAAAAGUUACUCAAGUUAGCUUAAAGACAUAAUUACCAUGAUGUCAGGUCAAAAUAUAGCCUAUAAAAGAGAAGAGAUGGGUUACAUUAUUAUAAUACCCGAUUAACAACCUAAAUUAGUUAAAAAGAAGGACUUGGAAGUAAGAUUAAGAAAUUAUACUAAUCUGAAUUCAGUAAUCUAGAAUGAGCACAUAUCGCCCGUCGCCCUCGCUGAAAAGUGAGGUAAGUCGUAACAUAGUGGGUGUAACGGAAGUUGCCCCCGCCAUCAA
Molecule: non-coding RNA, 868 nt
Filed under: Melinna cristata
Lineage: Eukaryota; Metazoa; Annelida; Polychaeta; Terebellida; Melinnidae
Source: RNAcentral